GCGGGUGGGGGGUUUAGAAUCCCGUGAGGCUCAUAAUCUCACUUAAGCCGGUGCGAAUCCGGCACCCGCUACCA
This 74-nucleotide transfer RNA is filed under the name bacterium. RNAcentral's name for it is "tRNA-Met". The record is from RNAcentral. RNAcentral also lists the same sequence under 4 other names.